This 253-nucleotide ribosomal RNA is filed under the name uncultured bacterium. Its description in RNAcentral is "partial 16S ribosomal RNA". It matches the Rfam family "Bacterial small subunit ribosomal RNA", at positions 524 to 776 of the family's 1533-position model. The record is from RNAcentral.
UACGUAGGGUGCGAGCGUUAAUCGGAAUUACUGGGCGUAAAGCGUGCGCAGGCGGUCUUGCAAGACAGAUGUGAAAUCCCCGGGCUCAACCUGGGAACUGCAUUUGUGACUGCAAGGCUGGAGUACGGUAGAGGGGGAUGGAAUUCCGCGUGUAGCAGUGAAAUGCGUAGAUAUGCGGAGGAACACCGAUGGCGAAGGCAAUCCCCUGGACCUGUACUGACGCUCAUGCACGAAAGCGUGGGGAGCAAACAGG